GACAGUAUCUUCAUUCAGGUGGAGAUGUUGCUGUCUCUUUAAGAAUGCGGCUUGUUGGCAGUGUUUGUUACUGAGGCGGUCGAGUUUGCUCAUGCUGGCUGUUAACACAGAACUUCGCACGAUUUUCAAAGAAAAGUCUAUUUUGGAGUCCACACUUUUCAGACCGCGAAAAAAUUCUCCGGACUGCUUGGUGUACGUUUGCCUGCAGGAUGGAGUUGGCUAAGAGGUCUGCAGCUUAUUAAAGAAGUUAAUACAAUAUGAUAUUGAAGUCACCGCGGGACAUAACGUUAUAGAAGAAGUUUUUAAAGUUUCCAUUUGACCUUCAGGACAGUUGGAACAACAGAAUGCAGCCUGACAGCAUCAGACCAGUGAAGG
Non-coding RNA from Danio rerio (zebrafish), 375 nucleotides. The record is from RefSeq and is a predicted model, not a curated record. Lineage: Eukaryota; Metazoa; Chordata; Actinopteri; Cypriniformes; Danionidae.